AAUCAACGCUGGCGGCGUGCCUCAGACAUGCAAGUCGAACGAUUAAAGCUCUCUUCGGAGAGUGCAUAGAGUGGCGCACGGGUGAGUAACACGUAAGUAAUCUACCUUCGAGUGGGGAAUAACGUCCGGAAACGGGCGCUAAUACCGCAUAAUGCAGCGGCAUCGCAAGAUGACAGUUGUUAAAGGAGCAAUCCGCUUGAAGAGGAGCUUGCGGCAGAUUAGCUAGUUGGUAGGGUAAUGGCCUACCAAGGCUACGAUCUGUAACCGGUCUUAGAGGACGGUCGGUCACACUGACACUGAAUAACGGGUCAGACUCCUACGGGAGGCAGCAGUCGGGAAUUUUGGGCAAUGGGCGAAAGCCUGACCCAGCAACGCCGCGUGAAGGAUGAAGUAUUUCGGUAUGUAAACUUCGAAAGAAUAGGAAGAAUUAAUGACGGUACUAUUUAUAAGGUCCGGCUAACUACGUG
RNAcentral lists this ribosomal RNA (467 nucleotides) under uncultured bacterium. Its description in RNAcentral is "bacterial SSU rRNA". It matches the Rfam family "Bacterial small subunit ribosomal RNA", at positions 32 to 507 of the family's 1533-position model. The record is from RNAcentral.